AUUGAACGCUGGCGGCAGGCCUAACACAUGCAAGUCGAGCGGAUGAAGGGAGCUUGCUCCUGGAUUCAGCGGCGGACGGGUGAGUAAUGCCUAGGAAUCUGCCUGGUAGUGGGGGAUAACGUCCGGAAACGGGCGCUAAUACCGCAUCCGUCCUGAGGGGGAAAGUGGGGGAUCUUCGGACCUCACGCUAUCAGAUGAGCCUAGGUCGGAUUAGCUAGUUGGUGGGGUAAAGGCCUACCAAGGCGACGAUCCGUAACUGGUCUGAGAGGAUGAUCAGUCACACUGGAACUGAGACACGGUCCAGACUCCUACGGGAGGCAGCAGUGGGGAAUAUUGGACAAUGGGCGAAAGCCUGAUCCAGCCAUGCCGCGUGUGUGAAGAAGGUCUUCGGAUUGUAAAGCACUUUAAGUUGGGAGGAAGGGCAGUAAGUUAAUACCUUGCUGUUUUGACGUUACCAACAGAAUAAGCACCGGCUAACUUCGUG
RNAcentral lists this ribosomal RNA (484 nucleotides) under uncultured bacterium. RNAcentral's name for it is "partial 16S ribosomal RNA". It matches the Rfam family "Bacterial small subunit ribosomal RNA", at positions 30 to 507 of the family's 1533-position model. The record is from RNAcentral.